Molecule: ribosomal RNA, 723 nt
Filed under: Vibrio sp. 14H03
Lineage: Bacteria; Pseudomonadati; Pseudomonadota; Gammaproteobacteria; Vibrionales; Vibrionaceae
Description: bacterial SSU rRNA
Rfam family: Bacterial small subunit ribosomal RNA
Source: RNAcentral
ACGCUGGCGGCAGGCCUAACACAUGCAAGUCGAGCGGAAACGACAACAUUGAUUCUUCGGAUGCUUUAAUGGGCGUCGAGCGGCGGACGGGUGAGUAAUGCCUAGGAAAUUGCCUUGAUGUGGGGGAUAACCAUUGGAAACGAUGGCUAAUACCGCAUAAUGCCUACGGGCCAAAGAGGGGGAUCUUCGGACCUCUCGCGUCAAGAUAUGCCUAGGUGGGAUUAGCUAGUUGGUGAGGUAAUGGCUCACCAAGGCGACGAUCCCUAGCUGGUCUGAGAGGAUGAUCAGCCACACUGGAACUGAGACACGGUCCAGACUCCUACGGGAGGCAGCAGUGGGGAAUAUUGCACAAUGGGCGAAAGCCUGAUGCAGCCAUGCCGCGUGUAUGAAGAAGGCCUUCGGGUUGUAAAGUACUUUCAGUUGUGAGGAAGGGUGUGUAGUUAAUAGCUGCRYMUCUUGACGUUAGCAACAGAAGAAGCACCGGCUAACUCCGUGCCAGCAGCCGCGGUAAUACGGAGGGUGCGAGCGUUAAUCGGAAUUACUGGGCGUAAAGCGCAUGCAGGUGGUUCAUUAAGUCAGAUGUGAAAGCCCGGGGCUCAACCUCGGAACUGCAUUUGAAACUGGUGAACUAGAGUGCUGUAGAGGGGGGUAGAAUUUCAGGUGUAGCGGUGAAAUGCGUAGAGAUCUGAAGGAAUACCAGUGGCGAAGGCGGCCCCCUGGACA